GAAGUGACUGGGGGUGCCAUAAAUGUGACAUAUGUUUCAGGAAAUACCUCUUUCACUGAAAAAAAUCUAGGGACGUGAAAUAAGCUUGAGUUUGUUUGCCAGCAGGGUUUAUACUUUGCUCAGACUUCUAACCCUUGAUCUUUAUGGUAAAGAUAUUGGCAUCUGUCUGUAGAACGUGAGUUGUUGCUCUAAAUUUGGCUUUAAUGCCAAACGUUUUCUUUACCACAUGUUCAUAAUUCCAGAUUAAGUAUUGUGUGGGUGUGUGGGAGACAGAUUAUGCACAUUUCCUGGUUCAUAUUUUUACUUUGGGGGUCUACUAGUAAAUGUUCACAUGCUUUAAUGUUAAAAAAACACAAUUGGUCUCUUUUACCGUCCAUUACUGCAGCACCCUUAAUCACCAUGUUCUGAUUAGAUUUGCAUAUUGACUUACAGCAGCAAAAUAACAGGUGUACUGAAAACAAUAGUGAUGGCUUAGUUUAAUUUAGACGCCCCAGUAAGUCAUACCAAUGAGGCAGCAUGCACAAAAGCAAGGCUCUAGCCUUGGAGCCAUCCAUCCAUCUUUGUCCGCUUAUCCGGUUUCGGGUCGCGGGGGCAGCAGCUCCAGUAGGGGACCCAAAACUUCCCUUUCCCGAGCCACAUUAACCAGCUCCGACUGGGGGAUCCCAAGGCGUUCUCAGGCCAGGUUGGAGGUAUAACCCCUCCACCUAGUCCUGGGUCUUCCCCGAGGCCUCCUCCCAGCUGAACGUGCCUGGAAAACCACGGAUGACUGUGCUUCUCACCCUAUCUCUAAGGGAGACGCCAGGCCCUCUUCUGAGGAAACCCAUUUUGUCCGCUUGUACCCUGGAUCUUGUUCUAUCGGUCAUGAACCAGUCUUCAUGUCUAUAGGUGA
This is a long non-coding RNA of Etheostoma spectabile (orangethroat darter), 889 nucleotides long. RefSeq lists it as uncharacterized. The record is from RefSeq and is a predicted model, not a curated record. The transcript is spliced from 2 exons. Lineage: Eukaryota; Metazoa; Chordata; Actinopteri; Perciformes; Percidae.